AAGUAUUUUGGGGUAGAAAAAGGGGUGUUACAUAGUGAGUGAAAAUGCUUGGGCCAGGGGCCCUAAGCCUACUAAACAUACAACAGGAUGAAAGAUGAACAAAAAUCAUUGAGCCUCAUUCAAAUCUCACACUACGUUCAACCAACAAACUUCCCCUCCCUCUGCCGCGCCGGAAAUCGCAUUCGGUGGCGGCGAAGACUCAAUCGCCAUAAAACCU
RNAcentral lists this long non-coding RNA (217 nucleotides) under Lathyrus oleraceus (garden pea). RNAcentral's name for it is "Pisum sativum (pea) long non-coding RNA (PSAT_LNC038069)". Lineage: Eukaryota; Viridiplantae; Streptophyta; Magnoliopsida; Fabales; Fabaceae. The record is from RNAcentral.